Acanthosepion pharaonis is the source of this 114-nucleotide non-coding RNA. Lineage: Eukaryota; Metazoa; Mollusca; Cephalopoda; Sepiida; Sepiidae. The record is from the annotation of a GenBank genome assembly.
UUACGGCCACAUCACGUUGAAACACUGAUUCUCGUAUGAUCACUGAAGUUAAGCAACGUCGCGCCUGAUCAGUACGUAAAUGGGUGAUCGCUCCGGAAAACCAGGUGUUGUAAG